GACCGCGUGGCUUAAUGGAUAAGCGCUGGCUUUCGGAUCCGAAGAUUGCCGGUUCGAGUCCUGUCGUGGUCG
This is a non-coding RNA of Dryococelus australis, 72 nucleotides long. The record is from the annotation of a GenBank genome assembly. Lineage: Eukaryota; Metazoa; Arthropoda; Insecta; Phasmatodea; Phasmatidae.